RNAcentral lists this ribosomal RNA (324 nucleotides) under uncultured eukaryote. RNAcentral's name for it is "partial 18S ribosomal RNA". It matches the Rfam family "Eukaryotic small subunit ribosomal RNA", at positions 1470 to 1796 of the family's 1831-position model. The record is from RNAcentral.
CCCUUAGAUGUUCUGGGCCGCACGCGCGCUACACUGAUGCAUUCAACGAGUUUCGUCCUGGUCCGAGAGGAAUGGGUAACCUUUUGAAAGUGCAUCGUGAUAGGGAUAGACUAUUGCAAUUAUUGGUCUUCAACGAGGAAUUCCUAGUAGACGUAGUUCAUCAGACUGCAUCGAUUACGUCCCUGCCCUUUGUACACACCGCCCGUCGCUCCUACCGAUUGAAUGCUCAGGUGAGCCAUUCGGACUUUCAUCAUGCUGGUUUCCAGUUUUGAUGAAGGAAAGUCUUGCGAACCUUAUCAUUUAGAGGAAGGAGAAGUCGUAACA